CGAUCUAGCCCUUUAAGCCCUCAUAAUCCAAAUUUUACAUUAGAUCCACUCGUUUAACAAGUAGUAUAUCCAAGUUCCAUUUUCUAUCAAAUUUACCCCAAAUGGGCCCAGAAGCCCAUUGGGCCCGAUUUCAGCCCCUCGAGGCCCAACUUAUCGUGAUGCCGAAAAUCAUGCUCUUACCUGUUUCAAUGAUCCCGAUCAUCAAAUUAGUGAAUCUAACUAACCUAUGAGCGUUCGCAUGUUCAAGAGUCCUCGAAAUGCUAGAAUUUUUGCAUUUCGACUUUUCGGCAUAUAUUGAUUUAAGCUACGAAAGAGGGUUCGUUACACACCUGUUUUGUGACGUUCACCAACGAAGUCUCCCACGGAAACCUACAAUUAUCCAUCUUCAUUUUUAAUGUACAAUUCAUACUUAUCAAACCCAAAAUCUACCUUACCACAUUCGGCCAAAGAUCCCUAAUGGCCAUAGUUCACUUACCUUCACAGGGUCUGACGAUAUGAUCCAAGCUUAUCCAAAUCGACACCCCACGCAUUGCUGCUCCUCCAACGUAACUAUUCCACUAUACAGACCAUAAAAAUUAAAUGAAGAAGCCCAAUAAGGCCUAUAUCUCUAAUCGGCCACCUCCCUAAACUAUAGGGGUUUCGGCUUUUGUCAACAGUUACUACUGAAUCGAUUUAGAGUGCAAAUACUUACCACAGUCUCCCUUCUUGAACCGUUUAAAGCUUAGAAGAUAAAGGGAUUGGCCACCAAAAAGUGAAGGGAAAAAGAGGGUUGCUGGUCAAUAAAGAAUCGGCACCACCAAGCUUCACAGGUUCGGUUUUUGCGACUUUUUGGUAGAAGUGGAGGUAAAGAAAGAAGUAAUAGAUGAACGGAAGGGAGUAGUAAACUGGUUUUGGAAAAAGAAAAAUAAGAAAAAUGAUGGAUGGAAGGGUGGUAGGUCAGCAAGAGAAGAAAAAAGAAAAAGAAAAGGCUAAUCCUAUGGUUUACAAAGAAGAAAAUGGCACAACAAGCUCCCAAAUGCCGAAAUACUAACCUAAUACCCCUCUGCUGAAAUCCCUUCUCUAAUCCCCUCUAUUCGGCCAACUCUAUCUCUCUCUCAAAUCCCUAAAAUUUCUCCCCUUAUCACUCCUCAAUCCAUGCGUUUGACUGAUUCAAACUCUCUCCCACAGAGUUCCAUUCGGCUACAACUCCUGCAUGCUCAAAGCAUAAAAAUAACAUCACAUUUGCCAUCACAGGGAAUCAAACCUAAGUUUCCCCCAACCACUUACACGCCACCUUUUUAGCACCCUAGUGGCGUCACUUAGCCACUCUGCCAGAGGCUCUUUUGUGAUACAUUCUACUCACAAUUUUUAAUAAGACUGCCUAUCCAAAGCCCCUAACUUCUUAAUUCUAAAAUUCAAAAAUUCUACCGGGUUUUGGCCAUCACAUGGGCCUUCCAUAAGCCUAUUUACACACUCCAAUUAUGAAUUUCACAAUAAAAUAUCAAAUUUUAAAAAAUUUACCAAAAUCUCGAGAAUCACGAAAAAAACCCGAAAAUCAGGAUGUUACAACUCUACCCUCCUUAAAGAAAUUUCGACCUCGAAAUUUUACCUGAUCCAAACAGUUGAGGGUACUGCUGAUGCAUCGCCUCCUCGGUCUCCCAAGUAGCUUCUUCUUUGCCAUGGUUUCUCCAAAGUACCUUCACUAAUGGGACUGACUUCCUUCUCAGCACCUUGACGUCGUGAUCAAGUAUCUGCACAGGUUCUUCUUCGAAGGUCAAAUUCGACUAUACUUCGAUUUCUACAACUGGCACGAUAAGAGUUGGGUCAGAACGAUAUCGCCUUAAUGGAUACAUCAAAAACGUCAUGAAUACGAUCCAGCUCUAGAGGUAACUCUAGCUGGUUAGCCACUAGCCUUAUCCGCUUAAUAAUUCGAUAAGGCCCAAUGAACCGUGGACUCAACUUGCCCUUCUUACCAAAUCUCAAUAUCUUCUUCCAAGGUGAAAAUUUUAAAAAGACCAUGUCCCCAACCGCAUAUUUAAUAUCCUUACGCUUCAAAUCUACAUAAGACUUUUGUCGAUCCGCUGCCUCCUUUAACCGAUUCCUGACCACCUUAACCUUGUCUUCAGUAUCCGUUACCAACUCUGACCCAAGUACUUGCCUUUCCCCCAACUCUGCCCAACAAGUAGGCGAACGACACCUUCGCCCAUAUAGUGCCUCAUAAGGAGCCAUCUGAAUACUUGCUUGGUAACUGUUGUUAUACGCGAACUCCGCCAAUGGCAAGUUAUCCUCCCAACUGCCCCUAAAUUCAAUAACACAACCUCUCAACAUGUCUUCUAGAAUCUGAAUGACCCUUUCUGACUGCCCAUCGACUGAGGGUGAAAAGUCGUACUGAAAUCCAAUCGCGUUCCCAAUGCCUCAUGCAACUUCUGCCAAAACUGAGAUGUAAACCUUGGGUCUCGGUCUGAAAUUAUCGAUACUGGCACCCCAUGCAACCGCACUAUCUCCGCCACAUACAACUUGGCCAGCUUCUGAAGUGAGUAAUCGGUUCAGACAGGUAUGAAAUGGGCAGAUUUCGUGAGCCUAUCCACAAUUACCCAAACUGAAUCCUUCUUGGAAUGUGUCAACGGCAACCCACUUACAAAAUCCAUAGUUACUCUUUCCCACUUCCAAAGUGGUAUCUUUACUGGUUGUAACAAUCCUGAAGGCAGGUGAUGCUCGGCCUUUACUUGUUGACACGUCAAACAUUUCCCCACAAAUUCGGUCACUUCUCGCUUAAGCCCAGGCUACCAAUAUAGCUCUCGCAAGUCUCGAUACAACUUACUCCCUCCCAGAUGCAUAGCACAUGGUCCACUAUGUGCCUCCCUUAAAAUCAUCAACCUCAAAUCAACGUCCUUCGGCACACAAAUUCUUCCUCGAAAACAAAGAACCCCAUCAUUAUUUAACCCAAAAUCUGGAUUCUCCCCCUUCUCAACUUGCUGAAACCGAGAAACCAACGAUUCAUCCUCCAACUGUUGCUUCUUAAUCUGUUCCACCCAAGUCGGUCUCACUUGUAACUCUGCCAAUAAGCUUCCAUCGUCAUACAAACUUAAACAAGCAAACAUUGCCUCCAAUUUUGCCACAGUCCUUCGGCUUAACGCAUCAGCCACAACAUUUGCCUUACUUGGAUGGUACUCAAUCGAAUAGUCAUAGUCCUUUAACAAUUCUAUCCACCUUCGUUGUCUAAGAUUCAGCUCCUUUUGAGUCAGCAAGUACUUAAGACUCUUAUGAUCCGUAUAAAUAAUGCAUCUCUCCCCAUACAAGUAGUGCCUCCAUAUUUUAAGCGCAAAAAUUACCGCUGCCAAUUCCAAGUCAUGAGUAGGAUAGUUUACCUCAUGAGGCUUAAGCUAUCGUGAAGCAUAAGCGACCACUUUACCCUCUUACAUCAACACGCAGCCCAAACCUAAAUGUGACGCAUCGCUGUACACAGUGAAAUCUUACCAGACUCCGGCUGAAUCAACACUGGCGCUUCUGUCAGAACCUUCUUUAACUUCUCAAAAGCCUCUUGCUACUUAUUUGUCCAAACAAAUGGUGCUCCCUUCCUUAUAAGUUUAGUUAACGGUGUUGCCAACAAAGAAAAUCCUUCCAAAAAUCUUUGAUAAUAACCAGCCAACCCCAUAAAAUGACUACGAACCGAUCUAAGUACGGUUGAAACACCCGAUUCAUUAAAUCCAUGGACGCUGCCGGUGCAUUAGUCAAACCAAAGGGCAUAACCAGAAACUCGUAAUGACCAUAUCAAGUUCUGAAUGCCGUCUUGUGAAUAUCCACUUUUUUGACUUUCAACUGAUGAUAUCCUGACCAAAGGUCAAUCUUAGAAAAUACCGAGACUCCUCUUAGUUGGUCGAACAGAUCGUUGAUUCUUGGCAGAGGAUACUUGUUCUUGAUCGUCAGUUUGUUCAACUGCCGAUAGUCAAUGUACAUCCGCAUGGUCCCAUCUUUCCUCUUUAUGAACAACACCGGUGCGCCCCACGGGGAAACACUUGGUCUUAUAAACCCCCUAUCCAACAGUUCCUGAAUCUGAGCUUUCAAUUCUACCAACUCCUUUGCUGCCAUCCUAUAAGACACAAUAGACACUGGAGCUGUUCCAGGUAACAAGUCGAUUCCGAACUCUACUUCUCUGUUUGGAGGUAAUCCAGGAAGUUCCUCCGGAAAUACAUCUUUAAAUUUUUUAAUGGUCCUAACCGAUUCCAUAGUUAUCCCCUCAGGUUCAGCUUGACUUACAAAUGCCAAGAACGCCUCACAACCUUUCUGAAUCAACUUCUCGGCCCUUAAAGCUUAGACAAAUUGGACAAAUAGUUCCUUCGCUCCCCUAUGACAAUUAUCUCCUCAUCCUUGGCAGUUCUUAGUACCAUUCUCUUAGCAGCACAAUCCAACAUCGCUCUAUGCUUAGUUAGCCAGUCCAUUCCCAAGAUAAGAUCAAAAUCCCCAAAUGGCAGCUCUAUCAAAUCUCCUACAAAUAUCUUAUCUUGUAUCUCUAAAGGCAUCGCCCUCAAAAGUUUAUCUACCUUAACCGAGUGUUCUAAAGGGCUUAUCACCGAUACCCCACUCACAGUCUCCUCAGGAAGCACACCCAAUGCCCUAGAUACAUCACAAGAAACAUACGAGUGAGUGGAACCCACAUCAAUCAAAGCAAUAUAAGGCGUGCUAUGAAUGAAAAACGUAUCGGUUAUAACAUCAGGAGUGUCACCCUCCUCACGACGCUGUGCAGCAUAAACCAAUGCCGGCUGUCGAGCUUCAACAUGUCCAGCACCCCUGCCAGGUGCCCCACGUCCUCGUCCAUUACCAUUGCCACCUCUACCUUGCCCACAGCCUCUCUGUGGUGAUGGUCCUCCUCGCUGUGGUUGGACAUCCCUUUGUUCCGCAGCUAGUUCCUGAACUACUCUCCGAGGACAUUCUCUGAACUUAUGCUCCUUUGACCCACAUCGAAAACAUGCUCCAGUUCGUUUCCAGCACUCCCCCAUAUGCACCCUGCCACAGUCCCUGCAAGCCUGCGGUCUAAAGGUAUUUACUGGAACUGCUUGAACCGGUUCCUCCAUUCUAGCUCUUUUAACAUUCCUAUUUGUAGCACUUGAGGGUCCAGAAUCCCUCCUAAAUCUGGGUCGAUCCUUCUCACGAUUCUGCCGUUCAGUCCGUUUUACUUCCUCGACUAUCUUAUCCUUCUCUACCGACGCAGCGAAAUCACACUCCCUCUGUGGAGCUAUCAGUAUCCUAAGCUCAUCGCGGAGGCCAUCCUCAAAUCGAACACUACGCUCAUAUUCAGACACAACUAUCCCGCUGGCGUAUUGACUCAGCCUCAAGAAUUCUGCCUUAUACUCCGCAACAGUCUUAUUACCCUGAGUCAUAUUCAAAAAUUCCUUUCGACGGGCAUCCACAUAACUAGCUCCAACAUACCUCCCCUUAAAAGCAGUCUUGAACAAUUCCCAGGUUACUCGUUCAAUCGGGGUACUCUCCCUUACAGUGAUCUACCACCGAUAUGCCCCGUCUCGUAACAAUGAAAUAGCCCCCUUCAGCUUUUGCUCCACAGAGUAAUCUAAAUCAUCUAUAAUCCGCUCUGUUGCCUCUAGCUAAUAUUCAGCCACAUUCGGGGCUACUCCAGAUACACCCCUAAAAACUUCUGCUCCAUUAUCCCGGAGUCGUUCCGAGAUGGAUCCCCUAUUUAUUGUCCCAGUGCUAGCUCCAGCAACUCUUUGUAAAACCCUUAACAUGGCUUGGGACAAAGCAUCGUCCCCUGCAGCCCGAUCAUAUGACCCAGUCUCAGUUGCUUGUGGCAUGAAUGCCUCCUCAGCUGGCCUAUGCCCUGAGGAUGAAGAUUCCGCUUGCACCCUUCUGCGACCAUGUUCGCGGCCCCGUCCUCGAGUUCCUCUUGUACUCAUAUCGAAUUAUCUGAUUACGAAUUUUAUGACAUUAGUUUAAUGUUCAAUUGUUUAUUACGAGAUGUCUUAUGGAAAUAUAGCAGUUCAAGGAUUGUUUCCGCAACGUUGUAGCCUAGCUACAGUCUUAUUCCCACUGUUUUAUAGCUCUACCCUAUCUAAAGUAUCAUAGUAGGGUCUCAGUUCUAUUCAUAGCAUCAUAUCAAUAUCACAUAAAUAAAAGAGAGUAUACUUACAGACUUAGUGUCGGGGAUUCAGUGUGCCACUUCUUUCUCCAAACCAUUUAAAAACAAAAACCAUGUAUUUCAUCACAGAAAAUAGAAAUUCUUAAAAUUUAAUUUCAAAUACCUUUGUUUUGAAACUCUUGAUUUUAGACCCGUUUAAAAACCCACAGCCGAGUUGUUGCAACCGGGUUCUGAUACCACUAAAUGUAACACCCCAAACCCAGCCCAGAUGUUAUGGCCGAAUCCAGCGUGCCACAUAGAAGUUAAAAGUCCCCGUUUUCGUUUUAGUCUUCUAAUAAACCGUAUUUGUUAUGUUUAACCAAGUGAAUGGAAGCUGUGCACCAGGUAGGUAUCCAAAAACAGAGGAGGUGAGCCAUGAAGGCUGCUUAAGUACCAGGCUCUUCGGUUGGAUCCAAUCCUAGACAUGCCCACAACCAUUGCCACACUUGGAUAUAACGAGUUGAAAUUUAUUUGAGUGGAUAUCUUUGAUAAACUGAUAAAUAGUGAUGUUGCGUUAUUUUAAAAACGAGUAUCAUUUUGAAAACGCGCCUUAAGUCUAGCCCGUUUGUAUUGUCAUCAGUAAAAUUUAAAGUUAUUGAAAAAUAAAAUAAUCCCAGAAAGAGAAUAAAGUUAAAAUGGUCUUAUUACAACCCAAAAAUAAAUAUUAAAUAAGAUAAACUAGAGAAAACCAGAUACUUAUUUUAAAGUCCAAUAGCGAUCACCGUGGCCACUCUGAAUCCCCUCCGGCUCCAGGUCCCCAAAUCAAGGCUCACUUGCAAGGUUAAGGAAGGGGGUGAGUUUGGAAACUUAGUGUACAACAAGCCCCUUUCAGAGCCCAAAACAAUAUCAGCCUGCUGGGCCUAAGCCCAAAUUCAAUCUCAGCAUAUACUGGGCCGAAGCUUUUACAUUAUUCAUACCACUGGGCCGAAGCCUUUACUGUAAACGAUAUGGCCCAUAGGCCCAAAUCAAUACCACAUGCACUAUUAAUGGAUGUAUGCAAGCCAUUUGGGGAGACUACUCAAUCCACCAACCGCUACUCUCCACCCGUACCAACCAAGCUCUCCAUGUGGGGAAUAACUCAACCCACCCAACCAAACUCUCCACUGGCAGCAUAGCUGCUUUAUCAUAUAACUGGAGGCCUAGCCUCUUUUAAUAACUGGGGCAAAGCCCUUUUUGAUAAACUGGGGCAAAGCCCUUUUCGGUAAACUAGGGCAUAGUACUUUUGCACUUCCUCCAUUCAUAUAAAACCCAACCCAUGUAUAUAUGUAUAUAUCACGGCAUAUCAUGUGCAUAUCAUGGCAUAUUAUGUACAAAUCAGUAUCACAUGCAUCUCAAUUAUAAAUAACCCUAGGGGUAUAAUAGUCAUUUUCACCUAAGGGCAAAAAGGUCAUUUUUACAUUAUAAGGGUAAUUUUGUAAUUUUACCAAAAUAUUAGGGUUUUCCAUGUUCAUUAACAAUUAUCAAUAACUCCAAGCGUUUAAACAAUGAUUUUAACGCACUUUAUCAAAUUCGGGCUUUUGGGCCCAAAACCCCUAAUAGGCCCUACGAAUGUCGAUCUAGCCCUUUAAGCCAUCAUAAUCCAAAUUUUACAUCAGAUCCACUCGUUUAACAAGCAGUAUAUCCAAGUUCCAUUUUCUAUCAAAUUUACCCCAAAUGGGCCCGGAAGCCCAUUGGGCCCAAUUUCAGCCCCUCGAGGCUCAACUUACCAUGAUGCCAAAAAUCGUGCUCUUACCUGUUCCAAUGAUCCCGAUCAUCAACUUAGCAAAUCUAACUAACCUAUGAGCGUUAGCAUGUUCACGAGUCCUCGAAAUGCCAAAAUUUCGGCAUUUCGACUUUUCGGUAUAUAUCGAUUUAAGCUACGAAAGAAGGUUCGUUACACACCUGUUUUGUGACGUUCACCAACGAAGUCUCCCACGGCAACCUACAAUUAUCCAUCUCCAUUUUUAAUGUACAAAUCAUACUUAUCAAACCCAAAAUCUACCUUACCACAUUCGGCCAAAGAUCCCUAAUGGCCAUAGUUCACUUACCUUCACAGGGUCUGAUGAUAUGAUCCCAGCUUAUCCAAAUCGACACCCCACGCCUUGCUGCUCCUUCAACGUAACUAUUCCACUAUACAAACCAUAAAAAUCAAAUGAAGAAGCCCAAUAAGGCCUAUAUCUCUAAUUGGCCACCUCCCUCAACUAUAGGGGUUUCGGCUUUUGUCAACAGUUACUACUGAAUCGAUUUAGAGUACAAAUCGGUACUGGUCAAUAAAGAGGGUUGUUGGUCAAUAAAGAAUCGGCACCACCAAGCUUCACAGGUUUGGCUUUUGCUGCUUUUCGGCAAAAGUGGAGGUAAAGAAAGAAGUAGUAGAUGAACGGAAGGGAGUAGUGAACUGGUUUUGGAAAACGAAAAGGAAGAAAGAUGAUGGAUGGAAGUGUGGUAGGUCGGCUAGAGAAGAAGAAAAAAAAGAAAAGACUAAUCCUAUGGUUUAAAAAGAAGAAAACGGCACAACAAGCUCCCAAAUGCCGAAAUACUAACCUAAUACCCCUCUACCGAUAUCCCUUCUCUAAUCCCCUCUAUUCGGCCAACUCUAUCUCUCUCUCAAAUCCCUAAAAUCUCUUCCCUUAUCACUCAUCAAUCCAUUCGUUUGACUGAUUCAAACUCUCUCCCAUAGAGUUCCAUUCGGCUACAACUCCUGCAUGCUCAAAGCAUAAAAAUAACAUCACAUUUACCAUCCCAGGGAAUCAAACCCAGGUUUCCCUCAACCACUUACACGCCACCUUUUUAGCACCCUAGUGUCGUCACUUAGCCACUCUGCCAGAGGCUGUUUUGUGAUACAUUCUACCCACAAUUUUUAAUAAGACCACCUAUCCAAAGCCCCUAACUUCUUAAGUCCAAAAUUCAAAAAUUCUACCAUGUUUUGGCCAUCACAUGGGCCUUCCAUAAGCACAUUUACACACUCCAAUUAUGAAUUUCACAACCAAAUAUCAAAUUUUAAAAAUUUUACCCAAAUCUCGAGAAUCAAUAAAAAAACCCGAAAAUCAGGAUGUUACACGAGUUAUAUUCCGAUGUGUUCAACGGAUAAAAUUCUAGUGAAAUGGAAGAAUACUCAAGAUGCAAGUGACGUAUUGGUAAGUGUUAUGGAAUGGGCACUUUGGACAGGUAUGUACUUAACCCUCGGGUUGAUACUUGAUACGACAACAAUAAUGUAGUAUGAUGAUGAAUGAUGAAUAGAAAUGUGAUAUAUGUUUUGGUGAUAUUAUGCUAAUGUUGGUUGGUAUAAUUACUUUGUUAAGUUAUUUUUUAUUUGCAUGUGAACUUACUAAGCAUUUAUGCUUACUCCUUCCCUUCCAUUCCUUGUAGUUUUGACAAGUCGAUUUAGAGAUUAGGACGGUCGGAGGCAAGCUCACACUAUCAACAGACCAUCUCGGUAUGGUGGCUUGCAUAUUUUGGGAAUAUGGCAUGUAUAGCAUUAUAAUCCUUUUGUGUAUAUAAUCUUAUGAUAUAGCUCAUGGAUGGCAUGGAAAUGUUUGAGAAUAAUUAGCUAUUGGAGUGGCUAAUCAAGAUUAUAUUUGAUAACACGUAUGCUUUAUGUGCUAACUAAUCUAUGAAAUCAAUAAAAUGGUGAAAUUGGCUAUAAAAUAGAAUCGCAGAGCAGCAGUGACGUGAGUUUGAAAAAUAACUAAAAAUAUUAGAGAUAGAAUUAGAUGAUGAAUAAAAUAUGUAAUUUAAGCUUAAUGAAUCUAUUUUCAUGUGGAAGAAACAAAAUAGGUAAAAGAGUUGUAUUUUAUUAGAUAUUUACAUUUAGGUGAAAUAGGGUCAGAGCAAUUUCUAGAUUCCCUGUUCUGACUUUAUAAAUUCACCAUAAUUUUUGUAAAAAUAAUUAGGUCUCACAAUUUAUAUUUAUAGAUUCCUUAUUGAGUCUAUUUUUAAUUGAAACAAAUAGCAUAGUAUUGGAUUUCUGUACAGAAAGAAAUUUCAUUCGUAGUGUACAGGGGUUAGAGUAGCCAAACCUUGAAAUAGGGGAUACGUUAACUAAUAAACUAUACUAAUUGGCCUGACCAAAAAUUCUAGAAAAAAAUUAAUAGAUAGAUAUAUGAGUCUAGUUUCAGGAAAAAUUUACAGAUCUUAAUUUUGAGUUUCGAAACUCGAGAUAUGAAUUUUUAAGCAACUCUGAUGCAGUUAGCUAACUUGUCUGGAAAUUUUAAAAAAUAAAUUGUUUGAGCUGUUUAAUUAAUGAAUUAAGUCCGUUAACACCUCGUGCUCGACUCCGGCGAUGGUCUCGGGUACGGGGGCAUUACAAUUCAGGUAUUUUUCUAAUAAUGAAAUGAAUAUCCCCCCACACUUAAGAUGUACAUUGCCCUCAAUGUACAAAGAUAGAUAUAAGAAUAGAGAAAGAAGACAGGGAGAAAAGUGAAACUUCCUGUAUGAUGAAUUCCUCGAACUGGAGUUUUGGAGAGUAAUUGGUGCGAGAGUGGAGGAGGAUACUCCGGCGGUGGUAGAGGUUCGUUAGUCCAUAAGUCUUGCGCCAAAAGAAUAUUAUAUCUAGUGGUAGCUAUGGUUAUGGUCGAUCAGGACAUGGUAGUUAUGGAGAACCGUUCCCGAUGGAGUUUUUAGUUCCUAUGCGAUGAUGAGCUUAGGAGCUCUAUAUAACUAUGAUAAAAUAAGUAACUUUUUAUGGGAUAUUGGAAGAAUAAUUACUCAUAAAGAAAUAACUGAAAUUGAUGAUUAAAAAAUAAAAUUCUAAAGUCUAAUAAAAAAAUAAUAAGUAGUUUUAAUAAAAAUUAAAAACAUAAAAUAAUAAAUAAAUGUUUUUAAACAUUUUCAUCACUGGAUGGUUCGCAAGGUGGGACUGGCAAUGAGAUUUGGAGGUGCUGACAAAUCUGCUGUAGAGUAGCAACAAUGUUCUCAAAUCGUUGAAAACAUUACUGCUCGAAUCGAGUGAGGCGCUCAGAGAUGUCAGUAUAUGAAGCCGCCGCAUGAACUAGACGAAAGGGUGGUGGUGAUUGAGACGGGGGGUCCUCGUGCUAUGGAGGGACAUCAUCAGGAAUGUCCUUGUAGGUCUCCUCCUCAGUAGAUUGGACGAGCCGAUAUUGAGGAGGGUAGGUUCCUCGGCGCUUUUCGAUCAUCCUCAUGCUAAGCAUGCUCGAGAUGCCUUGUAGAGACAUCUGGCCAAUGAGGGUUAAGGAUGAUUCUUGGGCGGCGGUGCUGAGGAGCCCGAAGUGUCGAGCCAACCGAGUAACAUAGAGGCCAAUGGAGAUGACGCCCUUCCUAAGCCGCUCCGUCUGGUGCUGAAUCGCGAGGGCGAUAAAAUAGGCAAGGUCGAUGACUUGCCCGUGUAACAUACACCAUAAAAAGUAGGCAUCGUGAGUGUUGACGGCACCAGUGCUCUCUCACCUUUCUGUAAUCGUGUGAGCCAAAAUGGCAUGUAGGUACCUUAGAGAUGGAGGGAGAGUUGAUGCCUCGAAGUGGCUAGGAUUGUAGGUGGCCCCACCUGGUACUAGUGCGUUCCAACACCGUGAAGGAGAACGAUGGAUGUGGCGAUUGAGAGCAUGUAAUUCAUUCUCCUCCUUGAAUUCCUCUGUAUAUAAACCCAGUGUCGUACCGAAUUCUGGGAAGCUAAGCUGGCGGACUAAUCCACCUAGGCGAAAUUGGACCGUGCCGGGAUCAUCGUAGUUCGUUAUCACAGCUUGAAGAUGAAAUGUGGAGCAUAAUUCCAUCGUAAGCUCGAGAUACGUUGGCUCGAUGAUCCCAAAGAAAAACUCCCAAGGGUUGGUGGUCAGGAGGGUCUGAAUCGCUUCAGCCAACUGAACUUGUUCUAUAGCAGCCCAGUCGAUGUAGCAGCUCCCAAUUAAUGGUCAGGUCUAGAGUAUUUGGAAUAGUUCUCCUUGGGGCCCAAUGGAGAACCUCAGGAAAAGGUGAUGAACUUCUGCGGUAGGACCCGAAAAAGAUGACGCUCCCUUCCUUUUCUUUGAAGCAGGGACAACAGCCUUUUUACCACGUGAAGAUGACAUGGUACCUGGAAAUAGAAUCAUCAAGUCAUCUUGAUGAGAGGUCAAAGUAAAACGAAGACAAAUUUUAAAUAAAAAUCAUAAUUUCAGCCACAACUACUAAAACUAACUAAAACAAUAAGUUUAAUGGCAUACUUUUGUGGCACUAGUAUGGUGAUAUGAGUAAAAAUGGUCAGGAAUUUAAUGGAAAUAUAAAGAGCAUAAAUUUAGCACAUGGCAUAAGUUGUAAUGGUAAAUAACAAAAAACAAUUGAAAACUAUGAAUAUUGAUUUCGAAUAGGUGAGUAAGGCAUGAGAGUUUCAUAAAAAAUAUGUCAUGGGGAAUGAAUGAUAACUAAUCUUAAAAGCAAUGAAACUUCAAUGAUAGCAUAGUGUGAGAAACAUGAAGAUUAUAGCAUUAAAAAUGUGUGGAGUUAAAGGUAAAAGAGUGAACAAACGCUAAAAAAUGGAAGAAUAAGCGUUAGGAAUGAAGUUGGAAGCAGUGCACGGGUGUGGCGGGGAGGGCGUAUGGACUUGCAGCGGCUAGGGUUAGGGUUUUUGGGUGAAGAAGUUAAUGAAUACUAUGGCCUAUUUAUAGAUUUUGGGGCACACAGACAGGUAACACGCCCGUGUUCCCCAAUUUCAGCCCGUGUGAUUCGUGAAUUUUGAGUUUGGGCACGUCUGACAUUUAGUACAAGCCCGGUUUCAUUGGGCGUGUGGGUGCACACAGUCGUGUCGCACGGCCGUAUCUGGAGUUGUUCGCUUCUCCUACGCCCAUGUCAAUCUAACAGGUUCGACCACGGGUGCUAAACACGGACGUGUCGCACGCCCCUGUUGUUUUAAAUGGUUCUUCCAUGGUUCUUCUACACGGGCGUGUUGCACGCCCUUGUUGUUUUGGCAGGUUUGACCACGGCCAUGUCGCACGGCCGUGGCUUUUUAUCGUAGCCUGUGUUUGGGAAAAUCGUUGCCCUGUUUUCACACAGCCCUAAGCACACCCGUGUGCUUGGCCGUGUCUCUGUGAAAAACCUAUAUUCAAGAGCUCCGUUAGUAAGUUAGGUGUUGAAGACUAAAUUUUAAAGAAGUUAAUACAGUUAGUACUCGGGGUUGCCUCCCGAGACCCGCUUAUUUAUAGUCUAAGCUCGACCUACCUCUCUACUGAAUGGUCAUGAUGGUUCGAGGAGUUUAUACUCCUCAUUCCUGCUAUCAUUCUCAUCAAAAUAAGGUUUCAGACGGGUGUUGUUUACCUUAAAAGUACCGAACUUGGGAUGACUUACCUCGACUGUACCGAAUGGGAAAAUGCCAAGUACCGUAAGAGGGAUUUUUUCAUUCGGUGUGGUAGUGACAAUGUGAGGAUCUGCGGUAUCUAAUAAGACUUUAUCUCCAAUAUUAAGUUGAUGUGGGAAGGUGUUGAGCUUGUUCUGGCGUAGUUCUGGUUUAUCAUGCGUUCUUAGUUUAUGCGUCCGCCAUUCAUCUAGCUCCUCGAAUUGUAGCCUUCGUUCUUCAUGAAUAAGUCCUCUACCAUUGCUUGAGAAUGGCUCAUGUACUUCCUUGAGGCUCAUUUCUUACAAAGUAGGUUGCACUAUAUUGUCAGUUUUAGUAGAAUGGGUUAAACGAUCACCUUCAAUUUCUGAUGUGUUGCCAGAAUUGCGAGCUUGAAGGCUGAUUGUUUCGUUUCCCACACGGAGUGUGAGCUCACCUGUGCCAACAUCAAUGAACGUUUUAGCAGUUGCUAAAAAAGGCCUUCCUAGAAUUAAGGGAGUGUUGCUAUCCUCUUCUAUGUCUAGAAUAAUGAAGCCCACAGGAAAUAUAAUUUUUUCAAUUUUAACUAACAUAUCUUCAAUAAUACCCUUAGGAAAUCUUAUAGUUUUAUCUGAUAAUUGAAUGCUUAUCCUAGUCUGUUUGGGUUUCCCAAGACCUAAUUGUUAGAACAUCACAAACCCAAAUUUUGGUGAGAUUUUUGAGCCUUUUGAGCAUAUAGCUUUCUUUCUUCCUCACUUCUUUUGUGGUUUGAGUGUGUCAACAUUGAACUGUUAUUCUAGAACUUGCUUCGAUUAUACAUGUCGAUAUCACACGUAUGAUUUGAUAUAUUGAGAUGAUAAAUGCACUUAGGAUUUAACCCACUUACUCCAUAAAAAGCCUUCUCACAUAAUUAAACCCUUAGUGAACCCCUUUUUAGCCUACUAACCUUUUUUAUUAAUUAACCCUCAUCAUUAACCCAUUAACCCAUUAUUGUUGAAAUCCUCUUACUUAAUUUACCCUUUUUUAUCGAGAUUAAAUUUAAUAUUGUUACCUCACUAUGUUCACCAUUUUUUGUUACUGAAUCAUGAAGUAUGAUUUCUAUAUUGUUUCAACUUGAUUUGUUCUUAAAAAAAAGGCUUAUGUAAUAUAGUUCUAGAUAUGUGUUUGUGAUUCAGUAAUUAAGUUUUUGAUAGUGGGGUAAUAUAUUGAAUUAUCUCGAUUCCAACCUUUGUCUCUUCAGCUUGUAUCCAUACCUAUAACCUAAACUUCGUUACAACCAUGCAAAGGCCUUUUGAUUUGUGUACAUAUCAUUUACAAGUGGUGGAGAUUUGAUUUUCAUGCAAGCCUAUGGUAAUAACUUCUCAUGUUAGACGAUUGAGUGCUUAAUCUUGAACCUUAAACAGUUUGAGUGAUUUGAGUGAAUCUUUAGUGAGGAUGUCAUCUCUUGUAUAUUUAGGACUAAAGUUAAUUACUUAGAGGAAGGAGAUUACCUAUGAUUUUCUUAUCAAAAUAUUCGAUUUAGAUUGUUUCAGGCUUUUAAUGCCCAUAUAGUUGAAUUCUCACUGUACGAUUUUCCGUGGAAUAGUUUGUAACUUUAUCAGUAAUAAUUAUGUGAUUGAAAGGAAUGAAUUCUAGCAGUAAAUGAGAGUUUUGCUUGAGGAAAAGCAAAUGCUUAAGUGUGGGGGUAUUUGAUAAACGCCAAACUAUACAUAUUUUUACUCCAAAUACCUAGUAUAUUUAUGGAUGUUUAUUACUAGAUUUUUGGAUUUUGGUGCUCUUAAUCCGGUUAUUUCAUGCUUUAUACUCAGGAGAGCACCAAGAGUCAAAAGGAGCCAAAAACGAGCCAAAAAGGGAUAAAACGGACCAAAUCGAGAAGAUGACACGGCCUAAGCCUUGCCAACGGGGAGCUCACACGCCCGUGCCUUUUGAGGGUGUCGGCCAAGGCUCUCACGAUUCACACGGCCUGGCCAUUGACCCACACGGCCGUGUGCAAUUUAACGGAUCGAACACGGCCUGGCAAUCACGUCACACGGCCGUGGCACACGGGCGUGUCUCUUUUUCAAGGAGCUGUAUUUUACACAGAAAAGGAUAUUUAGAGAGGAAGAAAGCCAAUCCAAAGCCUAUUUGAACACCCUAAGUAUGACUUAGAAAGGGACCCUCUCCUCCAGAAAUUUUCUGGAGUACAGAACCACAUACCGAGAAUUACUUGAAGGAAGCUAGACGAUCCAUCCCAAAAGCCGGAGCUACUCCAAGACUGAAGAUCUCUCUCAGAAUUCCUUCAGGGGUUUUAGAGUUUUCUUUAUGUUUUGUCAUUUUCAUACUUUUGAGAUGUACUCUUAUUUUAUUAUGAACUAAACCCCUUAGAUACCUAAGGGGGUUGAAACCUAUGAUGGAUCUUGUUAUUAUUAUCUGAACUGUAUGAUAAAUACUUGAUUUGUUCUUAAUUAUGUGUUCUUAAUGCUUGAGUUAAUAUUCCGGGUAUUAAUUCAUGAUUUGAUGUGCUUAUGUAGAAAAGUCUCUGUCUAAGAGUAGAUUUGGCAUAAUUAAGCGGAGUUGAUCGAACGCCUAGAAAUAUGGUUACGAGAUUUUGCCGGAUUAGGGUGAAACCUAAUAUGGGAGUCUAUAGAUCGAUUUACUGCUUCCCUAGGGGUUUUAAUUAAGAAAGAGAUUUCAAUUAAUCCAACUGAGGGUUAGACGUUAUUAGUCUCGAAAGAGAUAAUAAUAUAGGUUACGGAGUCUCACGGAUCAAGUCAAGUGAAUAAAUCGUCUGGUUCAGAGUUAGAUAACAAGUGAAAUCUAGGUGAAUUCCUCCUUGGGUGUCGUCUUUAUCAAUUACUUUUCUUCAAGUCUUUUCCAAAUCUUCUCUUUGCCUUAGUUUAAUUAGUUAAUUAGUUUAGUUAAUCAGUUUAAUAAACAACCCCUCUUUAUUUCUAGGUUAAAUAAUAAAAAGAUAAUUAUUACUAGUACUUUUGGUUCCCUUGGGUACGAUAUCCCGGUCUUGCCAUUACUAUACUAUUGUUCGAUAGGUGCGCUUGCCUUUUCGUCGUGAUAAUAGUUAGUUUAGGUUUGAUCUUCAUUAUAAAUAUUUAUUACUUAUUACGAAUCAGGCGAUCAAGUUUUUAACGCUGUUGCAGGGGAACUAAAAUAUUAGGAACGCUCAAUUUUUAUUACUUUAGCCAUUUAUUUUUCUUGAAAUUUAAUUUAUUUUAUUAUUAUUAUUUAUUAAUUUACUUUUUCUUUUUCUCUUGGCAGGUUUUUAUAGUUUAUGACUAGAAAAAACCCAUCAGGACCAUUACUUUUUGACGAAGAAAUCGAUAGAACAGUUCGUAGAAAUCAAAGAGACAUACGGCGAAGCUUACGAUACACAGAAAACGAACAAGAAGAUGAUACUCAACCCCCAAUCGAAGAGAUGGCUGAAAACCAAGGCAAUCAGCUACCUCCUGCAAUUGCAGCUAAUCAAAAUCCUGCUCCACGCACUAUGUAUGAUUGUGCUAAACCUUCUUUAACAGGAACUGAGUCUAGCAUAGUUAGAUCGGCUAUAGCUGCAAAUACUUUUGCACUGAAACCUAACACAAUUCAAAUGAUACAGCAGUUUGUUCAGUUUGAGGGUUUGCAGGAUAAAGAUCCCAACGCUCACUUAGCAAACUUUCUAGAAUUUUGCGAUACAUUUAAAAUCAAUGGCGUUUCUGAUGAUGCUAUUCAUCUUCAGUUAUUUCCUUUUUCACUGAGAAACAAAGCUAAACAGUUGUUGAACUCGUUACCACGAGGGUCAAUUACUACUUGGGAACAAAUGACCGAAAAAUUCUUACUAAAAUAUUUUUCGCCAGCUAAAACGGCUAAAUUAUGUAAUGAUAUCUCUUCUUUUGUGCAGAUGGAUUUAGAAACACUUUACGAUGCAUGGGAGAGGUACAAGGACUUACUGAGAAGGUACCCUCACCAUAGGUUACCGCUUUGGCUUCAAGUACAAACAUUCCACAAUGGUCUGAAUCCCUCGACUCGGCAAAUGGUUAAUGCAGCUGCUGGCGGAACCAUCAACAAUAAAACACCGAAAGAUGCCUAUGAGUUUAUAGAGGAGAUGUCACUGAAUAACUAUCAGUGGCAAGUUAUGAGGACAAAGCCAACAAAAAUAGCCGGCGUUUAUAAUGUUGACUCAGUCACCAUGCUUUCUAAUUAGGUAGAACUUCUCAAUAAAAAGAUUGAUGGUUUACUUGGUUCUACGCAGGUACAUCCAGUAAUAAGGUGUGACGCAAGUGGAAGAGGUGUGUAUACAGAAUAUCAAUCCUUCAAUCCCACAAUCGAAGAGGAACAAGUCAACUAUAUGGGUAAAAAUAACUUUAGAUAUCAAAAUAACCCAUACAGUAAUACUUAUAAUACAGGUUAGAGGAAUCACCCAAAUUUCUCCUGGGUGGUCAAGGGAAUCAAAAGCCACAAAAUACUCAGGGUUUUCAAUAGCCACCUUAUCAACAAGAGAAGAAACCAAACCUUUAGGAUUAUUACUUAUUUUAUAGGCUCUAAUAGUUACCAUGAGUAUUUCCUAAUUAUUUUUUGGAAGAAAAAAAAUAAUGCCUACAAUCUACAAUAAAGUAAAAGGUAAAAAAAUGGCUAAUCAGUUAUUUCUUUCAUCACCCCAAACAAGCCAAUAUUAGCGCUAAUGGUGCGUAAAUGUAACUCAUUAUUUAAAGAACUAUUCAGAGUUCCUAGAGCUCCUUGUAAAGCUUGUUGGAAAACCCGUUGUCGGACUUGAUUAAUCGCUCUUUGUUGUUCAAAAUAAAUGGUUUCAUUUUUGUAAUUUUCUAAUUGUUCCAAAAUCUUAUAAGUUGAAUUAAUCAAAUUCAAUUUUUCUCGUUCUAUCUCAGAGUGUCCAUUCACUCGAAACUAAUCCGCCUCCAUUUCUACUUUCUAUAAGCGGGCCUGGGCCUUUUCCAGCCGUUCAAUAGCCCCCCGGCGUAGUUCUUCUGAAUUUCGAAUAGUAUUCAAGAUCCUCUCUUUUCGAUUAUCUAAUAAAUCACUUAAUGAAAGUAGAUUAUCUUUCCAUUCAUUUUUUUUAUUUCAAAAAUUCCAUGAUCCCUUUCCGAACCAAACAUGAACCUUUCAAUUCAUUUGGCUCUCACGCUCAAUUAUUUCUUAUUUAUUGGGAAUUAAUUCCCAAUAUCUUUUUUUUCUAAUGUAAUGAGCUUACCCUCUCCCUCUCGUCUCUAUUCAUAUUCCAAAAUAUCGAAACUGAUUACUAAUCCAAAACCAGAAUAUUCGGAGGAUUCUUCUGACCAAAAUAAAAAAUAUAUCAAAAAACUAAAAAGUAUAAUAAAAAAUAAUAAAUAAAAAAGUUACAUAUAAUUUGGAAUUUCUAAUUGUACUUAGAAUUGUAUAAUGUAUAAUUGUAAUUUGUCAGCAAAGUUGUUUCUUUUUUUUCUUCAAAUUCAAAGAAUUCUUCUCCCUUUAUACAUAGGUCAUCGAUUCAGCAUUGGAAAAAGGGGCCCAAAUCAUUUUAUCGACAUGAGUGUUUUAUAUCGAAAAAAAAUUUUUGUUUUGAAAAUAUUUCUAUAUUUAGUAACAUAGUAGUAGAAAGAGUACCCUGCUGCAUCUGAACUUCAAACGGGUUUGGCCUUAACCAUGUUAAUGGUCCCAGAUUAUUGGUUAAUAGAGAAUCAAAGUCGAUGUACCAAUGAAUCACAAAAUGCUAUGGUUCUAUAAUAUGAUUUUAAAAAUUUAUUCAAAAGUAAUUCGCGAGAUCAUGCACUCUUUUCUUUCCUAGUUAUAAUGAAAAAAAGUACAACUGGGUGAAUCCAGCCUAUUCUUGAAAUAAACAACUCGCACACACUCCAUUUCCAAAAAAGAUCAAUACACCAAGGACUACACUUAGAUUUAUUGGAUUUGUUGCUAAAAUAUCGAUAUUAACCCCGAAACUCCCGGCGGAUGGCCAGUGACCCAAGGAAACGAAAGAAUCGGUAUUCAUUUUUAUUUUUAAUAAUGAAUAAAUUCAAUUUUCAUUUUUAUUUUUUUAGUUAUCUUAUUAUGGUUAUAUAGGAUAGUCUAAUAAAAGGAUAAGAAUAAAAAUGAAAUUAAAGAAAAAAAGAUGCAACCCAUAGAAUUGAAAUCCAUAUCAUAAUGAGAGACUCAUUUCUUUUGUUUUUAUUCAUAAAGACAGAAGCUAAGACGAAAAAAAGAAUCGACCCUUCGAGUAUUCCACCAAAUUGCCUGAGAAAACUGAGAGUAAGAGGGACAUAUAUAUGUUAUGGAAUACCCAUCUAUAUUGAAUUGCGAAUACAGAAAUGAUAAAAUAUUUUCUGAUUGGACCAAAUAAAAAUUAAUAUGGGUCUCCGAUAGAGACGAAAGACGGAUAAACAAACAAGAAAAUAGGUAAAGACCCUUCGAUAUAAGAAUCUGUAUCUAUAUCUACUAAAUUCAACGGUUUCGCAUAAAAAGAAAGUAAAUAAAUAAACGAAAGAAAAUAAACAAAUGAAAGAAGGGGGAAAGGAGGGAGAAAGGGGGAAGGAGGGGCAUCCUAAUGAGAUCCUAAUCUCAAGACACAAAAGGGGAUAUAGCAAAAUUGGUAUACGCUACGGACUUAAUUGGAUUGAGCCUUGGUAUGGAAACCUACUAAGUGAUAACUUUCAAAUUCAGAGAAACCCUGGAAUGAAAAAUGGGCAAUCCUGAGCCAAAUCCUAUUAUUUUAUUAGUUUACGAAAAUAAACAUGAACAAAGUUUCAGCAAGCGAGAAUAAGAAAAAAAGGACAGGAUAGGUGCAGAGACUCAAUGGAAGCUAUUCUAACAAAUGGGGUUGACUGUUGGUAAAGGAAUCCUUAUAUCGAAUAUCGAAACUCUAGAAAGGAUGCAAGAUAU
This 20159-nucleotide long non-coding RNA is filed under the name Gossypium barbadense (sea-island cotton). Its description in RNAcentral is "long non-coding RNA (GBAR_LNC008805)". The stretch from base 19877 to 20159 matches the Rfam family "Group I catalytic intron", at positions 1 to 227 of the family's 253-position model. The record is from RNAcentral. Lineage: Eukaryota; Viridiplantae; Streptophyta; Magnoliopsida; Malvales; Malvaceae.